UUAUUUUUAUAAUUUUUUUUCCUUAAUUUUGCGCCUCACUUCGCUCAAUGGAUGCCUUGUGCCUAAGCUUCAGGUCCUCUUAGCGCCUUGGCGUGCCUUAAGCCUUUGAUAAUUAUGGUUGUUAUUAGGAAAGAUUAAUUGGACCAUCAAAAAAGAAAUGAUCUGAAUUUAGUGCAUUCUGACACAUUUGAUGCUGCAUUCUGACACUGUCAAGCCGGGGCCAGGAAUUUCAAAACCUCUUUUCGGUGUUCUAGAAGAUCUUUUAUCAAUAAGUAAGCUAGCCUCCCUGAAAAGGCAUCUAUUUUGAAGUGAGGAUGCUUCCUGCCUUGGAGUCAUCAGAAAACGAAGUAGUGCAACUUGAACGGUUCAAAACGGUGUAUGACACUGAAAAUGGUGUGAAAUAAAAUAAGCCAAAUGGGAAGAGUGACUCCACAUGAAGAUGGUUUAAGAGUCAAGGCACAGUUGUUUCUUCAAGGGUUAGCGGCUUAUGGACUUUUAGGCUUAGUGAAUAUUGUACUGUUUCUAUAAUCUAUACGCUGGUAUUUUAAAGUUGUUGCUAAAUGCACCUGAUUUGCUAGCUGUUAAUUCACCCUACAAUUGAGUAAAUUUUUUAACUAAUUGUUGUAGUUUUAUAGGCUAAGCUAGCCUAAUUGAUGGGUAGAGG
Molecule: unclassified non-coding RNA, 664 nt
Filed under: Hevea brasiliensis (rubber tree)
Lineage: Eukaryota; Viridiplantae; Streptophyta; Magnoliopsida; Malpighiales; Euphorbiaceae
Source: RNAcentral